GUUUGCACUUGGUGAUAGUACCAGCCAUAAAGUAUUGGAGGUUCAUAGCAUGUUUUGUUUGACUUUCCGAUAGUUUUAUCUGCUCUUUGUCUUGACGCAUUGUUUGUGUGGUGGUGAGUCUAAACCAUGAUUAGAAGCAUUAUCCUUGAACCUGCCAUUGAGCUCAUGAUCAAAUUAGAAGUUGCAAGCAUGAAGGGACUUUUUGGGUUUUGGUGAAUCUGUUAUAAGAUAUCCCAAUGUUGAAAGAGAUGUUAUAGUUGGAGUUUUAUAGAUUGGAAUCUGGCCUGAAUCAGAAGGUUUCAUUGACGAAGGUUUCAUCUUGCUCCCAAGAAGUGAAAAGGUUCUUGUGAAGGUGGCAAAAAAUUCACUUGCAACAAGUAAUGUGAUUUGAACAUUGUGAUAAGGAGAAUUCUUCUUGGGUAGAUUUAAGUUUCAUGUGAAUUAACGCUUAGUUUUUUUUUUCCCUUGUAUGUAGUAUUGUCUAUGUAUUCCCACAAAACGGUGCAAAACUUGCAAUAUUCCGGCGACUUCUGUGUCGUUUUCAAUAUUUUAGAAUUGCAGUGUCGUUGCACUACUCUAAUGACCUCUCUGUCAUUUUCAAGAUUUAAGAAUGGCAGAAAACGAUGCUAUGGCAGCGUUGUUGCACUAUCCCAGCGAUCUCUGUGUCGGAACAAUAAGCAAUGUUUGAAGCUUUGGAGCGGUGCAACGUGUGUUGGAUUUGGUCAAUGCAGAUUACAUAAG
Long non-coding RNA from Pistacia vera, 741 nucleotides. RefSeq lists it as uncharacterized. The transcript is spliced from 2 exons. Lineage: Eukaryota; Viridiplantae; Streptophyta; Magnoliopsida; Sapindales; Anacardiaceae. The record is from RefSeq and is a predicted model, not a curated record.